UAGUAGUUUCGUAGUCCUCGGCGUACAGGACGAACGCUGGCGGCGUGCUUAACACAUGCAAGUGGUGCGACGAACCAGGCUUGCCCUGGGCCAAGCCGCGAACGGGUGAGUAACACGUGAGUAACCUGCCCCGAUGACCGGGACAACCCCGAGGAAACUCGGGCUAAUACCGGAUGUGGCGCACAAUCGUAAGUUUGUGCGCUAAAGGAAGCUUCGGCCUCCGCAUUGGAGGGGCUCGCGGCCCAUUAGCUUGUUGGUGAGGUAACGGCUCACCAAGGCAACGGAUGGGUAGCUGGUCUGAGAGGACGAUCAGCCACACUGGGACUGAGACACGGCCCAGACUCCUACGGGAGGCAGCAGUGGGGAAUCUUGCGCAAUGCGCGAAAGCGUGACGCAGCAACGCCGCGUGGGGAAGACGGCCUUCGGGUUGUAAACCCCUUUCAGGAGGGACGAAGGUUCACCGGUGAAUAGCCGUGUGGAUUGACGGUACCUCCAGAAGAAGCUCCGGCUAACUACGUG
This 519-nucleotide ribosomal RNA is filed under the name uncultured Actinomycetes bacterium. RNAcentral describes it as "bacterial SSU rRNA". It matches the Rfam family "Bacterial small subunit ribosomal RNA", at positions 1 to 507 of the family's 1533-position model. Lineage: Bacteria; Bacillati; Actinomycetota; Actinomycetes. The record is from RNAcentral.